CGCUGGCGGCGCACAUUAAGACAUGCAAGUCGAACGGAAGUCGUUACCAAAUGAAUUGAAGAUUUAUCUGAUUGAAGUUUAGUACAAUGGCUUUAGUGGCGGACUGGUGAGUAACACGUAAGCAAUCUACCUAUUAGAGGGGAAUAACAAUGAGAAAUCAUUGCUAAUACCGCAUAAGCUUGUAGUACCGCAUGGUAUAGCAAGAAAAGGAGCAAUCCGCUGAGAGAUGGGCUCGCGUCUGAUUAGCUAGUUGGUAAGGUAACGGCUUACCAAGGCGACGAUCAGUAGCCGGACUGAGAGGUUGAACGGCCACAUUGGGACUGAGACACGGCCCAAACUCCUACGGGAGGCAGCAGUGGGGAAUAUUGGGCAAUGGGGGAAACCCUGACCCAGCAACGCCGCGUGAAGGAAGAAGGCUUUCGGGUUGUAAACUUCUUUUGUCGAGGAAGAGUAGAAGACUGUACUCGGCGAAUAAGCCACGGCUAACUACGUG
RNAcentral lists this ribosomal RNA (493 nucleotides) under uncultured bacterium. RNAcentral's name for it is "bacterial SSU rRNA". It matches the Rfam family "Bacterial small subunit ribosomal RNA", at positions 34 to 507 of the family's 1533-position model. The record is from RNAcentral.